GGGACACGGCCCGAUGACUCACUCCACGAUGUUUGAGGAAGAUGGCGGAUGUCACACCAUUAUCCUCGCCGUCCAUGACUGUCAGCUCAUUGCAAAGGUUCAAUGUCCACCACACUGUCGAGCAGCUCUUUUUGACCAGCAAUAUAGCGCCUUGACAAUGGUGACGUCACGUGCACAGGCUCUAUACACUGGACGUACCUUAGUGGUGCACUGGCUAUUUCUACUUGAGACCCAGAGGCCAAAGAUAAUUUACUCAACACAAUAAGCAAUGUGUGAAAACCCUUUUCCUCAGAACAUCUGCAGAGUAUGCUGCUCAGACGCAUGGCCCAUGUGAUUCGGCUUGCUUUCAAAAAAGGACCUCACUCGCUCACAAAUUUCAAUUUCAC
Molecule: long non-coding RNA, 386 nt
Organism: Syngnathoides biaculeatus (alligator pipefish)
Lineage: Eukaryota; Metazoa; Chordata; Actinopteri; Syngnathiformes; Syngnathidae
Exons: 4
Source: RefSeq, a predicted model, not a curated record